AGCGCAUGCGCAAUUCAUCCCCAGCCUGUCUCCGUAAGGGUGUCGAUUCUCAAGCUGGAACAUUGGAGGAAAAAAGAUACUCUAUUUUACCCACAAAACAGCCAAAAAACAAACGGAUGUGCUUCAGAAAACGAAACGGCUACCGCCCUCCAGAUCAUUUUAAUGCCAAAAUUGAGAGGUCCGCGGCCUGCGGGGGGAUGACAUGCAUGUGUCCAGGCAUUUAACAUCAUUGAGGACUUUAAGACUAGUAGGCUGCCCUCCGCCAAGCCAUGAUGGACAUUCUGUACACAGGCCCAGUCCCGGCAGACCGCGAGUCUCCGAUGACGCGGAGCGAGACGUCCCCCAGCCGCGCCCAGCAUCCCUCGUCCACACAGAAACCCAACACCUGCUGCUUCUGCUGGUGCUGCUGCUGUAGCUGCUCAUGGAAUGAAGAUGACAAGCGCGAGCGGAGGAAAGCCCAGGAGACAAGGCUGGAGCCCUUUCCAUGUGAACCUUGGUGAGAACACACACAUACACUAGAUACUGUUUUCAUCAUGAGGGUUGAGCUGUUUCUCUCAACCAAGUCAUCAUGGACUAUUAUGUUUGUUAGGAAUGUGAA
This is a long non-coding RNA of Cyprinus carpio (common carp), 598 nucleotides long. RefSeq lists it as uncharacterized. Lineage: Eukaryota; Metazoa; Chordata; Actinopteri; Cypriniformes; Cyprinidae. The record is from RefSeq and is a predicted model, not a curated record. The transcript is spliced from 4 exons.